UUCUUGAGUUCACGACCGUACUUUAACGCCCGCAAAUCCAGGCUAGUCAAUUUAGAGGAAAUAGGGAUCGAAAAUGAAUUUUAGACAAAAGAUUAUUUAAAAUAAAUAAUCUUAACCAAGAUAUAGAAUAUGUCACAAGGUUUCCGUACAUAUAAAGAACGCCGAAAUCCGAGUUAUAACGAAGAAGUUAUGACCUGUCUAAGUUUUUCGGCAAAACCGGCACGGCACCGGGAAGCAUAAAAUGUGAAUUUAUGAUAGAAGAAUUUUUAUCCUUAGUAGUCUAAAAGAAAGUCGUAGAAUAUGUUAAACCGAGAAAAUCCAUAAAAAGAACGCCCAAAUCUGACUUCGUAUGAAGAAGUUAUGAUUUUUCUAAGAUUCGGCUUAGCAGUGCACAACCCGAAACUCGAAUUUUAGUUCGAGCGGUUUUUGGCUUACGCGACCUAAAUGAGAGUUGAAGAUCUCAUUAAUAGGAACUCAACGGUAAAAAGAUGGACGAAAACGGAGUUCGUAUGAAGGAGUUACAAAUUCUUCGCGGUCAUUUAACAGUCUAAACGCCUCCUACUAUUAAAUUUGAGAUCGGUCGAGAAUUAGCCGACAGAGUCUAAAUGAAAGUUGUAGAUCUUGUUUUUACCUACGUGUGGAAAAAAAGAACGUCGAAAAGGGAGCUCGUAUGCGAGAGUUAUGAUUUUUCUAAGUUUGAAGGCUGAUACGUGAUAUUGGGAGACGUGGCGCGAUCACAGCCAUUGCUUUCUCUCCAAGGAAAGCCAUCAGAUGAUGACACAUGGCACCAACUCGGCGAGUAGGUCCUCCUACUCGGCGAGUCCAUCAGGAAUUCACACUAUAAAUAGAGGUGUCGGGUUCCAUUCAUUCUCACACCUUUCCAAACCAUUCUUUCUCUCUCUAGACUCUCUCUCUCUAGCCCCCUAAUCCCCCUAAAAGCCUAGGUAAACCCCUAGCACCUGAAGGAAGCCCCGAGGCUCCCAGAGUCCCGAGAAAAGAGCCUUUCGGCUCGAGAACGCUGCUCCAACGAAGCCCGGUUUUUGAGAUAACCCGCUGUAAAUGAGCUAUGCCUACCCUAUCUUUUGUAUAGCUUAUGUUUUAAUAUAGUAACGUUAUUAGGAACUUAUAAUGAGUAUUUGGGCUAUUAUUAUGAGUUAUAUUGAGUGUUAUUUAACGCUUAUAUAAUAUUAAUCAUAUCUAGACUACUAAUGUGUCGCGGUUAUCGUUAGACUAAGCCCUAGUGGUAUUGGUAUUAGGUUUUAUCGAAGGGAAAUUGUUUUGAGAGUACCGAAGCGCUAUCCGAGUGCUGAGUCACCACCUUUCAGGUGAGUGCAUGGUCCCUUUCAUCUUACACAUAGAUAUGAAGUAUUUUAUUAUAAAUUAUGUGCUAUUUGUGCAUAUUGUCUGAAUACUUGCUGUCUAUGCCGGCGAAAGAUUUUAUACAUGUUUUAAAUGAUGUAAACUGUAUAAAGUAUUUUAUAUCUACAAAAUAUGUUGGGUAAAACAUGGGUAGAUGAAUGAUGAAGGAUAAAAGCUUAAAUAGAGGAACAUUAGUAGCAUGGACCAAGUGCCUUAUAGGUAUACAUUGGCAGCAGUGGACCUAGUACCCUAUAGAUGAGCACUGGCAGCUGCACCACAACUCGUAGAUGUUUUAGAUCUACGGUAAACGUCCUAGCAGCUGCGCUCUAAGGACAAUAUCGGCAGCUAGCUGCGCCUAAUAGGGAGCCUUAUGACCAUGACAAUAGCAUUUAAAGGUAAAUACCGGCAGAAGCGCCUCAUAGAAAAUGUCCCAAUUCUGGCAGCUACGCCUAAGUGACAAGAUUAGCAGUUGCGCUUGACCAAUGUGUCAUUGGCAACAACGGACUUCAUGUUGUUUCCUUAGGAUGAUCCUUAGGAAUGAAUGAAUGAGAAAUAGCUGAUUCUUAGGGUAGAUCCUUAAGAAUAAAGAAGAUAAUGGGGAUGGGUAAUUGGGUUGAUUGUUUGAUUGUUUAAACAUAAUAAUUAUAUUAUUGUGGGUUGAAAACCCUAUGUACUCACCAGGUUUCCCAACCUGACCCACUCAGUUUAUUUAUAUCACAGGUGUUGAUAUGAAGUGACAUUACACUGAGAGAUUUAAAGAGAUGUAGAUCACUAGUGUAAAUAAUUGUAAGUUCUGUUUAUGCUUAUGUUUCUGUAUUAACGAUGACAUCCCAAACGUUUUAAAAUGAAAUAAAUACGUUUCUUCGAAAAUGUUUUAAUAACGUAUUUACCAUGUUUUUCUGGGAACAAAUUCCGCAACAUUUUUAUAAAAUGAAGUACUCUGAUUUUUAUAAAGCAUAAACAACAUCGGUCUUUUCUGGCCGUGAAAAUGGGGAUGUCACAGUUGGUAUCAGAGCAUUAGUUUAAGCGAACUAGGAAUAUGGAUUUAUUUCUAGACUUAAACUUAGAAUGCUAAGCGAUGAUUGUGAGGUGUGAGCACUAGAUUAUUUUCGGGAUUGUGCCUAAAAUGCUUUUAUGUGCUAAAUGCUUGUGUCUGAUAUGUUGUUAUUUGUUCGGAUCUGUGGUCUAUUGCCGAUCGGAUCUGGAAAUUUUAUGUUCUCAGGUUUCUAAAUGUUUAAAUACGAUAUUAGAACUGGGAUGUAACUUUUCGGAGUAAUAAGGAGGAUUACACGUCUAAAUCUUCUUUAUCUAUAUUCUCGUCUUGAUGCACUGAACGCAUGCUUCCGUGAAAAUAACGUCAUGGUGAAGGCUGGUAGCAAAUUAUGUAAAUGGUGGAAAUGAAAAGGCUUAUGAUAGUGAAUGAUGCCUAUCAGAAGAUAUCAUAAGAGAGGUACCUUGCCUUUAGAAUACGUCGGAGAAAAUCAAUACGUCUAGAGAAGUACGGAACAUCUGAAUGUACACAUUUGAUUGGCGGGAGGAUAGAACGAUUGGUGUAAUUCCUAAAGUUUUCCUAUCAUCUGGAAUUUCCAUCACCAACCGAGUUGAAGCAGAAUUGAUGAUUGAAGAUACGCAUGGAAGAAGUCCUAGUAGAGUUUAGGGAAAUUUUUAUGAUUAUUUGGACACACUCGUAUGUGUUAAAUUGUUUUGUGAUUUUAGGACUUGGGGACUGCGAGACAAUACUUGGGACGAGUAUGAGUAGGUGUGAAUGGUAGUAGAGGCUUAUACUACCGGAAGCACAAGACUCACACUUGGAUCAGGGAAAGUCACAAAGUUACCAAGAAGCUAGUAAUUGAUUACGUUUUAUUCAAGUAUGUCGUUACCAUUGUUUCGGUAAUGACUAAGAAGAUUGUUGUUAUCCUGACCCUAGUGGUCAUAUCACAUUGAGUCCGACUACGAUGAGUAGGUUACGUGGUUCAGAGAACCAAGUUUGAUGUAGCGUCUGACUUAAACCAAACGAUUGAAAUCAAAGCGAUCAAUAGAAGUAUCGCGCUCGUUGUUAAAGAAGUUGGUAUCUAGAAAUGCUACAUGUUAAAAUGUGAUUAUAUCACAUUAGACCAUGAAGGAAGGCAUAUUCCAUUCGGGAAUUUGACUCUAAGAGACCUGAGUCUAAGCGUUGCUACAUACGAUGAUAGGUCAUUAGAAUAUGACACAUUGGUCAAUUGUAGUAAUCAAAUUAAGUUAUCCUAAGUUUGUUAAGAAGAAGAAGGAGUCUCUGAUAAAUAAUGAGGUUGUGACACGAAAGUCAUGAUUGAAAGUCUAACGAGCAGGUGCAAGACCGAGCACCGCCUGCAGUCAAGGAGUCCAAGAGUUAGAUACUCGUUCAAAGCAACAUAGAAGUUACGAUUAUUACCUAGGAUGAAGAGAUAACAUAUGGAGUCAUUAUACUAUCCUGUUUCUUUGAUGAUUCCGGGGCGUAAUCAUCCUAAGGGGGAGAUAAUUGUAACGCCCGCAAAUCCGGGAUAGUCAAUUUAGAGGCAAUAAGGGUCGAAAAUGAAUUUUCGACAAAAUAUUAUUUAAAAUAAAUAAUCUUAACCAAGAUAUAGAAUAUGUCACAAGGUUUUCGUACAUAUAAAGAACGCCAAAAUCCGAGUUAUAACGAAGAAGUUAUGACCUGUCUAAGUUUUUCGGCAAAACCGGCACGGCACCGGGAAGCAUAAAAUGUGAAUUUAUGAUAGAAGAAUUUUUAUCCUUAGUAGUCUAAAAGAAAGUCGUAGAAUAUGUUAAACCGAGAAAAUCCAUAAAAAGAACGCCCAAAUCUGACUUCGUAUGAAGAAGUUAUGAUUUUUCUAAGAUUCGGCUUAGCAGUGCA
Molecule: long non-coding RNA, 4228 nt
Filed under: Lactuca sativa (garden lettuce)
Lineage: Eukaryota; Viridiplantae; Streptophyta; Magnoliopsida; Asterales; Asteraceae
Description: long non-coding RNA (LSAT_LNC001509)
Source: RNAcentral